Molecule: ribosomal RNA, 706 nt
Filed under: Candidatus Kaiserbacteria bacterium
Lineage: Bacteria; Candidatus Kaiseribacteriota
Description: bacterial SSU rRNA
Rfam family: Bacterial small subunit ribosomal RNA
Source: RNAcentral
CUUAGAGUUUGAUCCUAGCUCAGGGUGAACGCUGGCGGUAUGGAUAAGGCAUGCAAGUCACGGGGGCCGCAAGGCAACCGGCAGACGAGGUAGUAACACGUAGGAACGUCCCCCAGAGUCUGGUAUAGCUCGCCGAAAGGUGAGGUAAUCCCAGAUGGUCUCGUAAGAGUAAAGCUCCGGCGCUCUGGGAGCGGCCUGCGUAAUAUCAGCUAGUUGGUGAGGUAAUGGCUCACCAAGGCUAUGACGUUUAGGGGACCUGAGAGGGUGACCCCCACCGAUGAAACUGAGACACGGUUCAUACCCCUACGGGGGGCCGCAGCCGAGAAUAUUCGACAAUGGGCGAAAGCCUGAUCGAGCGAUACCGCGUGGUGGAUGAAGUGCUUCGGCACGUAAACAUCUUUUAUGAGGGAAGAAGUUAUUGACAUUACCUCAUGAAUAAGGGGCUCCUAACUCUGUGCCAGCAGGAGCGGUAAUACAGAGGCCCCGAGCGUUACCCGGAAUUACUGGGCGUAAAGAGUGCGUAGGUGGUCGUGUUAGUCGCCUGUCAAAACCCAGGGCUCAACCCUGGAUCCGCGGGCGAAACGGCACGACUUGAGGGCGUGAGAGGUGCAUAGAACUCAUGGUGUAGGGGUGACAUCCGUUGAUAUCUUGGGGAAUACCGAAAGCGAAGGCAGUGCACUGGCGCGUUCCUGACACUCAAGCACGA